This 495-nucleotide ribosomal RNA is filed under the name uncultured bacterium. Its description in RNAcentral is "partial 16S ribosomal RNA". It matches the Rfam family "Bacterial small subunit ribosomal RNA", at positions 28 to 507 of the family's 1533-position model. The record is from RNAcentral.
GACGAACGCUGGCGGCGUGCCUAAUACAUGCAAGUAGAACGCUGAAGGAGGAGCUUGCGCUUCUGGAUGAGUUGCGAACGGGUGAGUAACGCGUAGGUAACCUGCCUGGUAGCGGGGGAUAACUAUUGGAAACGAUAGCUAAUACCGCAUAACAGUAGAUGUUGCAUGACAUUUGCUUAAAAGGUGCAAUUGCACCACUACCAGAUGGACCUGCGUUGUAUUAGCUAGUUGGUGGGGUAACGGCUCACCAAGGCGACGAUACAUAGCCGACCUGAGAGGGUGAUCGGCCACACUGGGACUGAGACACGGCCCAGACUCCUACGGGAGGCAGCAGUAGGGAAUCUUCGGCAAUGGACGGAAGUCUGACCGAGCAACGCCGCGUGAGUGAAGAAGGUUUUCGGAUCGUAAAGCUCUGUUGUAAGAGAAGAACGAGUGUGAGAGUGGAAAGUUCACACUGUGACGGUAGCUUACCAGAAAGGGACGGCUAACUACGUG